Molecule: ribosomal RNA, 456 nt
Filed under: uncultured bacterium
Lineage: Bacteria
Description: SSU rRNA
Rfam family: Bacterial small subunit ribosomal RNA
Source: RNAcentral
AGGAUAAACGCUGGCGGCGUGCCUAACACAUGCAAGUCGAACGUCCUACGCAAGUAGGGAGUGGCGGACGGGUGAGUAACACGUGGGCAAUCUACCUUUCGGUGAGGAAUACCGGCGAGAAAUCGCCGACAAUACCGCAUACGCUUCGCAAGAAGCAAAGUCGCAAGACGCCGGAGGAGGAGCCUGCGCCCGAUUAGCUGGUUGGUGAGGUAAGAGCUCACCAAGGCGACGAUCGGUAGCCGGUCUGAGAGGAUGAUCAGCCACACUGGGAUUGAGAACGGCCCAGACUCCUACGGGGGCAGCAGUGAGGAAUUUCGUCAAUGGGGGGCAACCCUGAACGAGCAACGCGCGUGCAGGAAGACGCUUUUCGGAGUGUAAACUGCUUUCUUAGGGACGAGUAAGGACGGUACCUAAAGGAAUAAGCCCCGGACGUAAACCUACGUGCCAAGCAGCCGC